UGCCGGGGAUGGUGGAUAUAGCACAGGUGGUGGUGGUGGACAAGGGGUCUCCACUGGAGGUGGCUUCACAACGGGAGGACUUGGGUAUACAGGAGGCGUUGGUGUUGGCGGCUUCACAAUGGGAGGACUUGGGUAUACAGGAGGCUUUGGAACUGGCGGCUUCACAAUGGGAGGACUGGGGUAGACGGGAGGCUUUGGAACUGGCGGCUUCACAAUGGGAGGACUGGGGUAGACGGGAGGCUUUGGCGCUGGCGGCUUUACAAUAGGAGGACUGGGGUAGACGGGAGGCUUUGGUGGUGGUGAAAUGACUGGGGGUUUAGGAUAGUGAGGUGGUGGGGGAUUAACGACAGGAGGUUUGGGUACAUGAGGAGGCUUUACGACGGGAGGGUUGGGAGGAUGAUGAGGCGGAUGUUUUGGUGGUUUGGGGUGAAAUGGGGGCUUCACAAUGGGAGGAUGUUUGGGUGGGAAAGUUGGAGGACAGUUGGGUGGAGGAGUUGGACGGGGACAUAGAGGACAAGCAAAAGAAGCAAGCAAAGCUCCCAAGUUCAGAAGCAGGACAAUGAGAUUGGGUAAACUAUAGUUCCCCAUCACUGAACUUGCUACUUUCCUCCCUGCUUAAAAGAGAGCUUAGUUCAUUUUCCCAGCUUCAUCCAAAUGAUUCAUUUAUAGAUCCAUCAUGCAGUGUGCAGACAAAAGGAAGGCGAGGUGUAUCCAUCAUGCAAAUUAGCAUAUUUCCUGAUAAUUUAUUAGAGCCUUGACUUUGAUGAAGUGAGAUUACUCACAACUUCCAACUUUGCAAAAUCUAGACCCAACUUUUAUGCUGAUUUCAUUACCAACAAGGGAUAAUAGUCCGAUUUAUAUAUUGUGUGGCACGGAUUUUGAAGGGGAAGGGAAUGGAGAAACCACAUGCUUGAUUGAGGACAUUUUUUAACUCCUAGUACCCAGUUGGAGUGUCGGACCCGUGAUUUGCUACUUGCAUUUUAUUUUUCUUUUCCUCAAAAAAAAAAAAUCUCUUCUUGCAUAAGAUUACAAACAAUCGAUUUCACAUUCGCAACCACAUGUCCAGUCCUCAAUGUCACCCGCAAUAUAUUCCCUUUUUUUUGGUUCACAUACCCUUAACUAAUACGUACGAGAGCGGGAGCCCUUGCCUGAUUAGGCCACUGAGCCAUGUUCCAUUGUCGCCCAAACAAGUACAAACAAAGGGUCCAGUACACUACGUAAGGGAUCUAUAAAUUAGACUGUUCUUUUUAAAAUACCUAUAACAAAAAUAUUAUGAUACAUAAGCAACUUCAAUAAACACCAUCAGAUUAAAAACAUUGUCAGUGUUGUAACUUAAAUCCAACAUCCAUCAAGCAAUUCCACCUGGGUAACUCUUUUUCAUAUCCUGGAGAGGACAUAUUUUAUCAAUAUUUCGUUCAUUGAUUUUCCAGCUGCUGUUAAUAAAUAUCAAUGGAGAGCCAAUAAGUGGAGUAGGUUUGAAGUAUUAAGUCAAUAUAUUGAUGAUGAAUUUUGGGGGUAAAAUCAAGAAUGGGGCACAUGUAAUGUAAGGGAGCAUCAGACUAAAGUCCAAAGUCUGAUGUUCACAAUUUUGGCUCUAUAUCUCAUUGUCAAAAUCAGCUGCAAUGUAGUGCUGACUGAAUCUCAAAUUUUAUUUUUAUAUAAAUGACGUAGUCAAAGUGUUUAAUUUUGAAACUAAAAUUUUGUUAUUAUCAUUCUCUUUUUCCAUUUAUAAAUUAUAAUAUGUACUCAAAAACCCAUAUUAUUUUAUUAAAACUAAAAUUAUUUAUAUUUAUAUUCUUAUUAAGUUCGUUUACCAUUAGGUUGAAAAUUAGGAAUGACAACGGGUUGGAUAUCUGUCAUUUUUAGAUUAAUUGAAUCUGUAAAUAUAUUUAAAAACCCAAAUUAGCAAAGUAUGCGAGUAUUACUAUCCAAAACUAAAUUAAAUAUCACUAUCUUUCGGAUUUUCAAAUCUACAAAAAUUUGAAUUCAAAUCUGCAAAAUAAUAUAAAUUCAAACAAAAAAUUAAUUUUUUUAUAAAUAACAAUAUAUAAUUGUAAAUUAACAAAAGUAAUUUAAUUAAAAAUCCAAGCAAAUUAAAAGCAAUAAUUUCACGACAAUUUAAAUAUAGCUAAUAAGUUAAACAUAAUUUAUGAAUUCUUCGAUACAAUGCUAGCAUGUGAAAUUAUCUAUAUUUUUCUCUAGUUUAUACUCUAUAUUGGUAUGACUAAUUACAUGUAUAGUAAACUAGACCAAAUAUAUUAAUUAGUCGGCAUGAUCGGUUAAACCAUCCUGAUCAAUAAUGAUGCAACAAAUGAAAAUUUACAUAGAUAUUUAUUAAAGAAUCUAGAGAUUCUUCAUUUUAAAGAUUUCUCAGGUGUUCUUUGUUCCCAAAGAAGAUUAUUAUAGAAUCUCACUAGCAAAAGUUGAGAUUGAAUCUUUUCCAUUUUUUAAAGAAAUAUGGAUUCAUUUAUCCAACAAGUGGAUGUUAUGAUAUGAUUUUGGUAGAUGCAUCUACAAGAUAAUCACAUGUGAGUUAUUAAAUCGCAAUCUGUAAUUUGCGAGAUUCGUUUAAGAACAAAAUUUUUAGAUUAUGCAAUCGAGAAAAAUUUGCUAAUGUUUGUCAAUUUAUUACUCAAACUUUCAAUUAUUAUUGUAUGCUAGAUAUUCGGUACAAGUAAGCAUCGCAAAGUCUGAUGUUUAUGUGUAUAAAAUGGUUUAGUAGAAUUAAUAAUUCAAUGCCUUCAAUUAGUAGCUAAACCAUAUCUUUUGAGAACAAAACUUUUUUGUAUAUAUGUAUAAGGAUAUGAUAUUUUACAUGAAUCAGCAUUUGUUUGCAUCAUGCCAAUAAAUUAUGAUAAAUAUUUCUCAUUACAAUCGACUUUUGGUCAGUAGCCAAAUACAACCCAUUUUUAAAAGUUUUGAAUGUGUGAUGUAUGCUCAACUUGCUCCACCACAAUGCACAAAAUGGGCAUUCAAAGAAAGUUGGGAACAUAUUAAUUAUGAGUCUCCUUAUGUUAUUAGAUGUUCUGAUCGAAUUGAAGAUUCAAUUAUGACAUGAUUUGGUGAUCACAACUUUAAUUUUGAUAGUUUUCCCAAUAUUAGAGGGAGAGAUAUAAUAGUUAGAUGAAGUAAAUUUGAAAUAAAUUAUCAUUAUUUAGGUCCUCGUAGAAAGUAAUUUAAACUAAUAGUUCAAAUGAAUAAUUCACCUUAUUGCAAGUUAACUACUAGAUGUAUUUAUUGACCUGAUGAGAAUAAUCAAGUGUUAUAUGCCAACUAGUGUUUUUAUUUGAAUCAAAGUCUCAGUUGGAUAAUCUGUUAAAAUAGAUUGAAAGUAUUGCAUGCCUGAAGCAUGAUAAAUUGAUUUGCUCUAAAGAUAAAAAUUCUCGUAAAAGAAAAUAAUAAAUCAAAAUGGUCAUAUAGUGAAGGCAAGUGCCCUUAGAUAUGACUAAUUAUUAAAAUUCCAAAAGUGAUUCAAGUACCUGAAAUUGAAUGUGGAAAUAAUUAAAGUAAAUAGAUCUCGAUAAGUUAUGUCAAUAUGAGAAAAUAUGGAAUCGAAAUAGAAAGUUGUUGAAAACAAUUUUUGCAUGGAAUAGUAUUGUUGAGAUAAUAAAAGAAAAAUAAGAUCUUGAAUAAAUUUGUUGGGAAAUAUAGACAUGGAAUAAAUUGACUAAAAUAGAAAGACGAUUCAAGUAUAAUUAAAUUCGUGAAGUUUCUGGACCAAUAGUCUAAACGUUUAAAGGUAAAAAACCAGUGAGGGCACAAAAUGAGUAGUUUUGCAAAAAUGAAUUAAGAAAUAUGAAAUUUUUCACUAAGUUCUAACAUUGAUUUUGAAAAGAUGUUCUUUUGUGGUGGAUGCAAAAACUUUGUUUGACAGUGCUUGAAAAUUUGACAAGCAUCUAACGAUAAGCCUUGAAGGAUUUAGAAUACUGAAAACAUAUAGAAAUUCUUGGGAAAUUGUUCUAUACGUUUGAGUAAUUAUUUAUAAAAAUUAAAAUAAUUUGAACAUAUGUGGUAAAUUUGACUCAGCGAAUAAUAGUUGAAAGAAGAUUGUAUAAUGAUCUAACAUACGCAUGUAUAAAAAGAUCAUGAUUAAAGUUUACUAUGAUUAUUGUUGAAACUCUUGAAGAGAUCAAAAUACAUUUACUCAAAAUUAUGCCACACUCAUAACUUUUAAAAAAACAUUUAUCAAAUUCAUUCAAGUAAUAAUUUGAAAAGCUAAUAUUGAAUAUUGAAUACGUAGAAUAUGAGAUAUUAUGUAGUGUUGUCACUUUUUCCAUUAGCUUUUGUCCCUUUGGAUUUUUCUAGUAAAGUUCAUAAUAAGUGUAUUAUAGAUAUGUGUAUUAUUUUUCAUUCCUAAGAUUUAUUUUUCUCACGGGAUUUUUAUUUUAAUAAAGUUUUAACGAUGCACAUUAUCUAUCAAUGAAUAUCCAAAGGAGAGUAUUAUAAAUAUUUUAUUAUAAUAGAAGUGGAUGUCCAUUAAGAUAAAAAGAGAUUAACAUAAAUUAGAACUCUAAUGUUCAAUAAAAUAAAAUUGUAUAUAAUUUAUAAAUAUAAAUUUUGGAAAAAUAUAAUAGAGUGUUGUCUUUGUUGUCGUAUUUCUCUUAUACUCUCCCUUAUUUACAACAUAACUAUUGUUUUAAAAAUUUAUUAUUAAUUUUAAAAUAAAAAAAAAACUAGUGAGGGUGAGAAAAGUAUAUAUAUAUAUAUAUGGUUAAAAAGAGAGACAAAUUUGUUAAUAAUUGGUCCGUAAGGCGUAUGGAGGACAGAGGUUGCAGCAGCCCAUACCCCACCCACGGACAGAUAACAUAGGCUUUGUAAUUGUUUUCAUAAAUCCCAACCUUCUUACUUCUUUGUCCUAUUAAAACCAAAAUACAAAAAAGGUAGUCGUCAAAAUAAAAAUUAGAAAAUCUUCUAUGGUAAUUAUUGAACAUUAUUUCAUAUAUUUUACUACCUCUUUUUACACAAUCUGAGCUGGUUGUUAUGUAAUAGAAGUUUAGAAUAAAAAAUUAAAAAUAUAAAUUACGUCUAAGGUUGAAUCUAAAAGAAUAAAUGGAGUGAUCGGGAUUACUUCCGAUCCACAUUUUAAACCCCUUUAAAAAAAAUGCGAAUUGGUACCAACACAUGCUAAAAUCAACAUGAUUAUAAGUUAUAAACUAUUAAUCUAGAUUUUAGGUGGUAAAAAUUAUCCAUUUAUAUUUCUGUAUGAGUGUAUAUACAAUCAAUAAAUUAUAUUAAAAGUAAAUAAAGAAGCUAUAUUUUGACCAAAUGGUGUCUUAUAGUUCAACCACUAUAUUACAGGUGUAUUAAAUAUAGAUUUUUGUUGCUACCGAUGGUUUAAUUAGUGAGUGGAGUUAGAGUCAGGGAAGAAGAAGAAAGACUUUCAUAGGUGAGAAAGAGAGGAAAAGAGAAAUAUCUGGAUGCUUAAAGUUAGUCAAUCUAUUGACGGUUUUUCCACCUAAAUAUAAAUGAACGAUACAUAAAUGGAUGUAGGAAUGAUAAGUAUUCGAGUGUGGUUAUUAUAACAUGUGUUACAAUGUUUGCCUUACUCUUAAUCCACAACGUUAAGGAUUGACGAAAUUUUGGUUGAUAAGAUCUUAUUCUCGCAAGUAAUUUAAGCUCACAAAGCAUCUCAUAGAUCGUGAGGCGAGUAUGCAUAUAAACGAACUUCUAAAUUGAAAAGCUGCCGACCUGAGGUUGAGGUCUAUUUCUCUUCAUUUCUAGCCUCACCACUUAGCAAAACCUGUCACGUUUUAAUUACAAAAUUCUUUGUAUGCAGUAGGCAUUAUGAAGUGAAACCAAAUAUGAUUCGAAAAGUACAGAUAUGUGAGUUACUAGAGCCGACAGUAACAAGCAUAGAUCACGAUUAGAGGUGUUAAUAGGUAAGAUUCAAGUUAGAAUUAAACAUGUUAAUAAAUUUUAUGUUUGUUCAAACUCGCUCGAUUUGAAAUAUGCACUUAAAACCUAAUAUUGAUGGCUCUGCCACCACUAAUCCUGGCUAAGCUAGAGCUGGUAUAAAAAUUAGAGACAGUGAUGGUGAUUGGGUUAUUGAGGCUUAUGGGCACAAUCCCUAUGCAACGUGCACAAUCUGAACUUUGGGUGCUUUAGUAUGGCCUUAAAACUCGCUAAGUAGGCCAAUAUCUCUAGCUUCAUUAUAGAGAUCAAUGCUACGAGUGUCAUUAGUCUAAUCCAAAAUUGACUUGUCUCUAACCCAUUAUUAUAUACCUUGGUUUAUGAAUGCAGGACUCUACUCAAUCAGCUUCAGCAUUAUCAGCUAAAACACACGUUUAAGGUGGAUAAUCAGUGUACAGAUGCAGUUGCGAUAUUAGGAAGCAACUUUCCAAAUCCCUCAAAAUCAUAUUUUACAUUUUCUACUAGCUAUUUUGUUAUUUAUCAGCAGCCUCCAGGCUGUUUAAUCGCCGCGGGGGAGUGAUAUCUCGUGACAUUUUUGUUAUUUAAUUCCGACUUAAGAAUGACAGGAACGCAUAAUUUCAAAUUGAAUUUGACCAACUGGUUAAUGCAAUCACCUUUCCGCAUAAGGUACGACAAUAAAACAAUAAACCAAAUAGCCAUAACCAAGUUAUCAGAACAAAAUUAAACAACUUGCCACCAUUUUUAGUUUCAUAACGCCGAUACCAUGUUAAGGAGUUGGAAGAAACUUCUCAAUAAAAAAAAAUGGCCCAAAAACAGGAUUUUGAACAAAAUAUGAAAGGAUAACUAAAGCUGGCUUUAGACUCACCUGACAAUCCGAAAACAAAAACUAAUGUCUUUAACAAGUCAAAUACCAAAACAUAGUCCUCGAAGAAAGCAACCUUACUUCUUGUCUUCCUUCUCAGCCUCAGCAGCUUUCUUCAAUCGGGCACCAAUGUGUCGUUCAUUCGUACGUUCCACGCGGAGCUUGUUAUAGGCCUUGAAUGACUUCAUCUCCUCUGUGACCUUCACAAGCUCCACGGAAGGCUUCUCGCGAGAAAUAGGCAUGUAUGAUCCCUGGACUUGGGUUGCAGUUGCAAGCUCCUCAGCAGUAGAAUCACCAGCCUAUACCAUCACACAGAACAAACAACAAUUAGAAGAAACAACAGCAAGGAUUUAACAAUUUCUCACAGCAAAUAGGAAACUUAAAAUUCACCUUAAACUUGCGAGCUUGUCUCGGGAAGACAACAAGUUUGGCCUUGUAAGUCUUAAGCCUCUGAACAUUGGCUUGAAGACCUUCAAGGGAUUUGUUCUUCCGACGGUGAUCGACUGCAAUACCAAUGGUAGGUGCAAGUUUCUUUGAAAUACCAGCAGCCUGAAUAGAUACAAGAACAUACAAAGUAAAUCAACAUUAUCUGAUGAAAUCAACUAUACGAAAACAUCUAGACAUUUAUAAAAGCCCCAACAGAAACCUAUGCCCUUUUUUUUUAUCAUUUUGAUUCUUAAUUUUAAACUUGAUUGUCGCUAACUAAUAUCCAAACUUGGUUAUCAAUCACAGGCAGAGUACCAAAGCAUUCAAUCGAUAUAACAAUUAAAACCAAAUUCAUUAAGAGUCUAAUCCACAAAUCUAUGUGUUUAUAUAAGAAUAAAAAUAGAAAACCUGAAACCGUGAUAGAUCAAUUUUGGUACAAGAAAAAGACAUCUAAAAAAUAAGCCCCAAAAAGUGUAUGAAAGAAAUUGAGAAAAUAGAACGUCAUACCUUAAGCUCUUCAAGAGUGAAACCCUUGCCAGCUCUCAACUUCAUGUUGUACUUCAAAGUUUGGCCAUGGACGAUUGGGCGAAGAGGUCCAGAAGUUGGUCUUGGAAAGAUCCUUACCGCCUUCUUUUGCCUUGCUGGAAACGUCCCCAAAACCCUCAAUUACACAAAUUUAAGCCACUCACACAAACAUCAUCGCUCUUAAGAAAGGCAACCCAGAAAAGAAAACUCACCAAUCCUUCUCCUAGCCUUUCUUGCUGGCUGAUUGAACCAGGUUUUCACAUAGUUCUGCCAGUGCUUUUUGAAGUGCCCAUUUGGUACAACGUUGUUAUGCUUAACCAUGACUUACCUGUCAUUUCAAUGCAAGAAACAGAACAAAAAUUAUCAAAUUAUUAUAAGAAACCGAAAAGACAGAUGGGAAGAAGAAACGAAAAUAGAAAAGGCGGAGGAGCACCUCCGGCUGAAGACGGGAAGGGGAUGUUUUAAGAAUUUAGACUGCUCUCUUUCUAGGGUUUUCUUAAUCUUGGGCUAUAUAUAAAACCCUAACUAUUAGGUGUCCUUAGUCAAAUCACUUCGAAAGUUCAUAAAAGAAUCCAGUGAAAUUAAUGGGGAAAUUCACCUAAUUAAAAAAAUUACAAUUACUAAACCUUUUGUAGUUAUUUGUUGGUGUGGCAUUUUUUUAUUUAGUAUAAUAAUAACCUCAAUUUUUAUAAUUUUUUUUUCAAUUUAACUCUAGUUUUAUAUAAAAGUUAUAAAAAAAUCUCAAAAUUAUUUUUAAAAUAAAAAAAUCUAUAUAAAAAUUCUAGAAAAAGAAAAUCUUGAAAAUGUUGUUGAAGAACUAGUAUGUAUGAGAAAUAAAGAAAUUAUCAUUCAAUACAAUCCAAUAAUAAAUUAAAAAUAGAACAAAUCUUUUAUAAAAAAAAGUUAAAUCAAUACAUGCUUCAUCAAUAUUUCUCGAAACCAAAUUAAUAAUAUCUUCAAGUUAAAUUUCAUGCCCCUAAAGAACAUCUAAAACUAAUAUUGUAGAGACUUAAAAAUAAUUCAAUUAUCAUUACAUGCUCUUGCGUUCUCGAAACUUAACGGUUAAAUAACCUAAUAUGCACAUUUUAAUGCUUUCAAACCAUAGCGAAAACAUCCCUAACUUAAUCAAACCUAUACCACACACAAUUACAACAAUAUAUCACAUGAUAGCCUAUUCAAUCAUUACUCAAACAUAGCAUUUCAUGCACUACAACAUAACAAGGUAAAUUGCAUCAUUAAACACCUAUAAUCAUGCAUCAUUUUCCACUAACCAGGCAUUACAAUGCAUCACUUAAAUAUUAUGAGUCAUGUUACCAAAACCAACAAAAUUAGUAUUAAACCAUAAGACUCUUUCUAGGUACAUCUUAUUUACUAUAUACAUACAAAAUACAUACAACUUGGUCCGAGCGAAGUCGCUAAGUCUUGAAUGCUUUCAACUUAAUCUACUAAGCUUUAUUGAAACACGAGCACAUAAAUAACAAACUGUGCGUUGAAUAAUGUAUACUCAAUGGUGCUAACAUAAAUUGAUAAUAAUGCAUGAUCAAAUAUAGCUUGUAAACUAAUUAUAAUUCAUAUAUAAACAUGCUUAUAAUAAGCAUCUUUCUCCAAAUUCACCAUGUAAUGCUUGCCUAUGGAAUUUCGUAUUCGAUUUAAACCAUGCAUACCAUCAUCUCUAUGUGCUUUCAAAGUCGUACACCACCAUAUCUAACAUCACACUUAGAUGCAAUAUCAUCAUACCAUAGCUAUAACGAUUUCAUUUCUAUAUUGCCUAUAACAUUUUAUAAUAACAUUCAUGUCUCAUUUUACUGAUCAAAUAUAUAUCCAUUUGUUUUUAUAGCAUCAUCAGCCUUAGGUUCGUAAUUCACAAUUCGCAUAAUAUCACUCAUCACUUUAACAUAUGUAUUCAAUUUCAAAAUAUGGCGUAAAUCAAAUAACCGAUAAAAAAUUUCCAUACUUGUGACCUUUAUUAACUAAUUUCUACUCACGAUUAGAUACGAGGAUCAUUAUAUCAAUAUACGCUCAUGGACCCCUAAGGCUUUGAAGUUAGCGUUAGUUUCCAUAGACACCCAAUGCUCUAGGGAUUCUAACUAAGGGCGAGUUUGGAUGGGCGGUGCGUUUACCUGCGGUUAGUGUAAAAACAGCGGUGGCGGUAAGAUUAGAUACUGUAGCGAUACAGUAGCGUGAGACAAAAAGUAAGCUAAACGCACCGCACCGCACCCAUCCUAAAUCUUUGAGGUAUGCUCACGAACACCUAGUAUUUUGGAGAACUAUCAAUACAUUCCCACGAACACCCAAUGCUCUAGGGAAACUAUUUAAUGAUUUACACCCAAUGCUAAAGUGCUACGUUCUCAAGGGAAACUAUUUGAUGAUUUACACCUGUUAGAGUUGUGUGACCCAAAUUCUAAGAGAUUGCUUGCAAGUCAAGUUAAACAAAAAUAUAUUUUCUUUCUAGAAGAUUUAGUAUUUAUUAGUAUAAUAUAUUUGACAUUUAUUAGUAUAGUUUAUUUGACUUACUAAUUUAGCCUAUAAAUAGGCUUUUUUACAAUCUUAGAAAUGACACCCAUUAGAUUAGAACUCAUAACACAUUCAGAGAAUUUUGUGUUUACGUUUUGAGGGUUCUUUGUUUUUCGGGUUUUCGGGGUUUAGUUUUUAUCUCCAUCUUUUGUACUAUUCGUUCUUUUGCCAUUAUAGUAAAAUUAUAUUUGCCCGUGGUUUUUUAUCCUCUUUGGAGGGGUUUUUCCACGUUAAAUUUGUGUGUUCAUCUUCUCAAUUUCUUUUGCUAUUUUUACUUGUUUGUUGCUUAAUCGGGACGAUCCUAACAAGUGAUAUCAGAGCUAGUUUAAUUUUCAUAGAUCAGCCCGUUCAAAUAUGGCAACAACAAGGUUUGAAAUUGAGAAGUUCGAUGGUGAGACAAAUUUCAAUUUGUGGCAAGUUCGGAUGAUGGCAAUUCUAGUUCAAAACGACUUGAAAAAGGUUGUUACAGGGAAAAAGCCUGAGAAUCUAAAUCAAACGGAAUGGGAAGAGCUUGAUGAAAAGGCAUUGUCUGCAAUCCAGUUGUGCCUCGCGAAUACAGUAUUGCAGGAGGUAUUGAUGGAGAAGACCUCAUUCGCCUUGUGGAAAAGGUUAGAAACUCUUUAUGCAGCUAAGUCUCUGGCUAACCGUUUAGUGUUGAAACAACGUCUAUUUACGUUUCGCAUGAAAGAAUGUGAGCUUCUUAAAGAUCACAUCACCCAAUUUAUUACUCUUUUAAAUGAUUUAAAGAACGUUGAGGUUCAUAUUGACGAUGAAGAUCAAGCUAUGCUAUUAUUGUGCUCUUUACCCUCUUCAUACAAGUCUUUCAGGGAGACCCUGAUUUAUGGCAGAGACAAACUCUCGUUCGAAGAUGUGAAGGGUUAUUUGUUGAGUAGAGACAAACUCGACAAUGAGUUUGGUUUGAAUAGCAAAGCAGAUAGGCAAGCUUCCGUUUUGGUAGCAUCAAAGAAACGAGACAAAAGGUGUCGCUAUUGUAAAAAGUUAGGUCACGUCAAAGCAGAUUGUUUUAAACUGUGAAAUAAAAGAGCUGUUGAGAGUAAUGAGGAAGAUAUAGUUGGUGCUAAUUUGGUUGAUGAAGGUGGUGAUGAUUUCUUGUUAGUGUCAACGAGCGACAACUCCAAGCUUAAGUCUGAGUGGAUCCUAGAUUCAGGAUGUUCUUUCCACAUGUGUCCCAAUAGAGAAUGGUUCUCCACAUACAGUUCAAUUGAAGGUGGAGUUGUGCACAUGGGAAACGAUUCAUCUAGUAAGAUAAUCGGUAUUGGUACUGUUAAGAUUAGGAUACACGAUGGGACGAUUAUGACACUCUCAGAUGUAAGGUAUGUACCUGAUUUACGAAAGAAUCUCAUCUCCUUAAGUAUUUUAGACUUGAAAGGAUGCAGAAUCAACAUCGAGUCUAGCGACAUUAAAGUAUCUUGUGGAGCUCUCGUUUUGUUAAGAGGUAAAAGAACUGGUAGUCUUUAUAUUCUGGAAGGUUCUACAGUGACCGGUGAAAUCGGACGUCCCUCUUCCGUUACGGGGUCAAAGUCAACUCGUUUGGAGCAGAGGCAACUUGGUCAUAGGAGGGAAAAAGGUAUGACCGUUUCGUUGAAGAGAGGUUCUCUUUUGGAUGCAGGUUUUAAAAAGUUAGGGCACUGUGUUCGUGAAAAUCAGACUCGGGUUAGUUUUGAUUUGACAGUGCACAAGUCGAAGGCUAGAAGUCUUCCAGCUUCUAAGCAUAGAUUCGACUCAAUUAAUUCCCUGCAUAGUUCAAGAUAGGCUCGUGGCGGGUUUUGGCAAAGAUGGCAUUGAAAGAAUUCGUGUCAAGGUGGAGAUUGUUAGAGUUGUGUGACCCAAAUUCUAAGAGAUUGUUUGCAAGUCAAGUUAAACAAAAAUAUAUUUUCUUUCUAGAAGAUUUAGUAUUUAUUAGUAUAAUAUAUUUGACAUUUAUUAGUAUAGUUUAUUUGACUUACUAAUUUAGCCUAUAAAUAGGCUCUUUUACAAUCUUAGAAAUGACACCCAUUAGAUUAGAACUCAUAACACAUUCAGAGAAUUUUGUGUUUACGUUUUGAGGGUUCUUUGUUUUUCGGGUUUUCGGGUUUAGUUUUUAUCUCCAUCUUUUGUACUCUUCGUUCUUUUGCCAUUAUAGUAAAAUUAUCUUUGCCCGUGGUUUUUAUCCUCUUUGGAGGGGUUUUUCCACGUUAAAUUUGUGUGUUCAUCUUCUCAAUUUCUUUUGCUAUUUUUACUUGUUUGUUGCUUAAUCGGGAUGAUCCUAACAACACCCAAUGUUAAAAGUGCUACGUUCUAAGUGCUAAUAACAUUUAUGCAUAUAUCUUUCAUUACAUCUCCAUUUCCAAUUCAUAUCUCAAACAUGCAUAUAUGUACUUACCUUGUUGGAAUAACAUCAUCCAAUUCAACACGGCAUGACACACUUAUGCUCACCUUUAUUAUAAACCAUUCCAUGAGCUUUGUACUUACCAUUCACUUGCUAUUUAAACAUGACAAUAUAUAUACACACAUUUACAUACCUUUCAUUAUUAAUCAUUCAUUAAAUCUACUUACUUAAUGAAAUCAAAUAAUAGAAUUAAAUUAAGUUAGCACAACCUGAAAAUUCUAGCUGUUCGUCGCUUUCUCUUUUCUUUCAUCUCCGAGAUUUUCGUGUCGUAUUUAACUAUGUAUGAUAAAUCUAAUCACGGAAACGUCAUUAAUUUACAAUCAACAAAAACAUAGACAUCAAUUCAAUCAUAAACACAUAUUUUGCAAUUUGAUUCAUUAAAACCUUAAUAUCUGAAUUGCUCGUAUCUCACAAUUUACCCGACCAAUUCUAAAGUUAAUUUUAUAAUUAUAGUAUUUAAUAUCAAACCUCAAAAUUUAGCCCUUAAUAGCACAUACAUUAUCAAAUAAUUUAAACUUAAUUCACUAUCACCCACCACAUUUUUAACAUGCUGUUGCUUAAAUCUAACCGACUCCAUUCAUGCAUGAACUUAAUCUAUUCACAUCAAAGGUCUAAAACCUAUUCAUGACAUGGACUUUUAUUAUCUAUCAGUAAUGUAACUCAAAUUGAAAAUUACAACUCGCCAUUUUUUUCCAAUUGAAGCUACGACAUUAUUAGUGAAAUGGACGGAAAUUGUUUCUUUCCUUUCUCGGUGGAGGGUGAAAGAGAAUGGAGAACGAUAUAAUCUUCUCUCUGGGGUAAUUAGAUAAUUAAUUAAUUACUACUCAAGAUUAACAUUAAUUAGUGGAGAAUGAUGACACCAUUAGUAAUUAGUCAUGUCUCAUAAAUUAUAUAUGGUUUAAUCGUUAGUAUGAACUUAGUUUAAUUUCGCAUUUGCUAACUUGAACAUUAAUUUCCUUUCAUUUUAAUCACUAACCGAUUUAGUAUUUUUACUAUUUUUAUUAACCGAUUUAAUUAAAUAACACUUAAUGAUUUAACCUUUCCAUUUUAAUUUUCUAUUGAACUCAAUUCAAUAUAUUUAGUCUGAAACUGAACUUUUCAACACCAUUAAAAAUUGAAUCAUUAUAUCUUUAUUUUAGGAAUCAAACCAACUCCGAUAACUAAGAUAAACUAUCUCCCAAUUGGACUUAUAGACAACAUAAUUGUCCCCUAAAAUUUAAAUCAUCUGCUCAAUAUGAUUUUACGAACUAUGGACAAAUUAGAUUACCUACUAAUAUAAUGUAUUUUCUCACAUUAUAAUUCAUCCAUAUAAUGUAUCUUAUUAUUGGUUAAACCUAGGAUAAUUAAUUAGUUAAUAUUUUUUUUAUACAUUUUGCUUCUAAUAACCAUCGAGGACAUUCAUAUAAAUAUUAAUUAAAUAAGCAUGCGGUAGUUUUUUUAUUCAAUCAUUUUGAAUAAAUUACAAGCAUAGUCACAAUGAAAUAACUACACUAAAGGCACAAAUUUUAACAUUUAGACUCGACCUGUCCCAUUUUCAAUUUUAUAAUAUGUUGUUUUUUGUUUUUUAUAUAUUUUAUAUCAUACGAAAAUUAAAUAUAUUAUAUCAUAAUAUAAUAUAAAGACUAAAAAGUAAAUUUUAGAAAUAUAUAAAGAAAAACCACAUAACUGUACUAAAAGAUAUAUAUUUACUAAAAAUUAAAAUUCUUUAAAAUAAAAAAAAAUGAAAAACUUGAGUUGGACAAAAAGUAUGUAUUAGCCAAACAAUAAAACUUGUGAUUGGUGAAAAACAUAAGAUGAACAGAUAUAAUCCUACUAAACCAAAGAUACUAAGGGCCAGUUCUUUAUUGCUUUUGAGAAAUUUGAGUGUUUGGCAUUGCUGUCAAAAAGUGCUUUUGAAGAAUAAAAUGUCCAUUUUAGGCAUGAGAUUAUAAAGUAACAAAUAUGUAUUUAAAUAAUGUUCAAAUUAGUUAAUAUUAUGAUAUUUUAGCAAAAAUAUAAAAAAAAUAAUUUAUUAUAACUUAUUGUUAAUAUUUUAAUAUAUAAUAUUAAUUUUAAAUAUUUCUAAGUACUCAAUAUUAAUUAUAAAAUUUAAUUAGAAUAUAUAAAUUAUAUUUAAAUAUUUAAAUAUAAAAAUUAAAUAUUUGUAAUUAAAUAUUGACACGAUUGUAUUAUUAUAAAAAUUAUUUUUUAUUUUUAAUUAAUACUUUUAACACAUUUGUAUUAUUUUAUUAUAAAAUAUUACAUAUAUUUGGAUUAAAAUUUUAAAAAGGGAUAAUAUUUAUAUACCAAAUAUAAAUACUAAAAAUUUGUCAAUAGCAUUUACAAUUUAAAGUGAAUUCAUUAAACUAGAUGCUAUAUUUGAUAAGCAUAUGAAAAUGAUUUGGUUAUAUUCAAUAAAUGAUUUGGUUAAUACAAUACUUAUAUUUGAUAAGCAUAUGAAAAUGAUUUGGUUAAUACAAUACUUAUAUUUGAUAAGCAUAUGAAAAUGAAAGUCGAGACUGUCUGAUGAAGAACACAAAAAAGAAUAUUUCAUGGAAAGAAGAUUGUUAGGAUGAAUUCUUCAAUUCCAAUCAUUUAAAUAACGGGUCUCAGGAACCAAGCAAUAUGCCAAAUUAGUGGACAGUCCACAUCAUUAACAUUGCAUACUGUUUUAAGAUGAACAAGAAUGGAACUAAAGUGUCUACCGAGGAGUAACAUACUGCUAUUUUUGUAAAUAAAGUACAGAAAGUGUAUAAAUAGAUGGUUGAAUAACACAUAUCCAGAAAAGAUCAUUGCCAAUAAGCCACUAACAAAGUAGCCUCAUAAACAAAGAAAUAGUUCUUAGGUUCUGCCUAAAUUUUAUGAUAAUGACAUAAAACUACAUCAAAGAUCAGAGUCGAACUUUGUUCAUAAGAACAUAAAAUAAAUCAUUGGCAAGAAACAAUUUUGCAGCAUGUCAUAUGUGUUGAGCAUCCAAAGGAAAUGCAAAGUUCUAAAUCAAAAAAAUAAAAUAGAUACCAAUUAGUAGGUAUAAAUAGACCUAUUAGAGAGGCAACAUAUACUACCCCUUUCUUUUAUGGUGAUCAUCAUAUUAUAUAUUUUUAGCAUAUAAUUGUGUUGUGUUCCAAGUUCUCAAAUCUAAUAUUUCUUUUUAAGGAAAGAUCGGA
This 15733-nucleotide long non-coding RNA is filed under the name Gossypium barbadense (sea-island cotton). RNAcentral describes it as "long non-coding RNA (GBAR_LNC020694)". Lineage: Eukaryota; Viridiplantae; Streptophyta; Magnoliopsida; Malvales; Malvaceae. The record is from RNAcentral.